RNAcentral lists this ribosomal RNA (470 nucleotides) under uncultured bacterium. Its description in RNAcentral is "partial 16S ribosomal RNA". It matches the Rfam family "Bacterial small subunit ribosomal RNA", at positions 28 to 507 of the family's 1533-position model. The record is from RNAcentral.
GACGAACGCUGGCGGCGUGCUUAACACAUGCAAGUCGAACGAUGAAGCACCAGCUUGCUGGUGUGGAUGAGUGGCGAACGGGUGAGUAAUACGUGAGUAACCUGCCCUUGACUCUGGGAUAAGCCCGGGCAACUGGGUCUAAUACUGGAUGCUACAUGUCACCGCAUGGUGGUGUGUGGAAAGGGUAUACUGGUCUUGGAUUGGCUCACGGCCUAUCAGCUUGUUGGUGAGGUAAUGGCUCAGCAAGGCGACGACGGGGAGCCGGCCCGAGAGGGUGACCGUCCACACCGAGACUGAGACACGGCCCCGACCCCGACUGGAGGCAGCGGUGGCGAAGAUUGCUCAAGGGGCGAGAGCCUGAGGCAGCGACGCCGCGGGAGGGAUGACGGUCUUCGGGUUGUAGUCCUCAAUCAGCAGUGAAGAAGCCACUAGUGACGGUACCUGCAGAAGAAGCGCCGGCUAACUACGUG